Molecule: ribosomal RNA, 253 nt
Filed under: uncultured bacterium
Lineage: Bacteria
Description: partial 16S ribosomal RNA
Rfam family: Bacterial small subunit ribosomal RNA
Source: RNAcentral
UACGAAGGGGGCUAGCGUUGUUCGGAAUUACUGGGCGUAAAGCGCGCGCAGGUGGUCUUGCAAGUCAGGGGUGAAAGCCCAGAGCUCAACUCUGGAACUGCCCUUGAGACUGUGAGACUUGGGUACGGGAGAGGUGAGUGGAAUUCCGAGUGUAGAGGUGAAAUUCGUAGAUAUUCGGAAGAACACCAGUGGCGAAGGCGGCUCACUGGCCCGUUACCGACACUCAGGCGCGAUAGCGUGGGGAGCAAACAGG